GAAGGACAGGUAGUCAAGAGAUUCAGUCCCAUGGAUGACCCACUUACGAUGGAAAAGGAGCUGCUCCGAUACCUGUAAAAGCCCCGCCUGCCUCUUGCCAGCCCUGGCUCUGCUCCGCCAGCGUUUCUCUGGUUUGCCUGUGAAUUUUGCCUGGGUGAAGGUCUGCCUUCAAGCCAAGCCUAUCUUGGUGAGGCAGGUCUGAGAGAUUUGGCACAAGUUCACACGGGAGGCUAGCUGGAACGUCUGUAUUUGCACCCCAGGCCGCAACUUCCAUCUUGUACAAAAUAAAGAUGUUUUUUUUUCUUUCAGCCGA
This is a non-coding RNA of Notechis scutatus (mainland tiger snake), 313 nucleotides long. NCBI's taxonomy places the organism in Eukaryota, Metazoa, Chordata, Lepidosauria, Squamata, Elapidae. The record is from RefSeq and is a predicted model, not a curated record.